Molecule: unclassified non-coding RNA, 351 nt
Filed under: soil metagenome
Description: partial contains 5.8S ribosomal RNA, internal transcribed spacer 2, and large subunit ribosomal RNA
Rfam family: 5.8S ribosomal RNA (bases 1-119)
Source: RNAcentral
GAUGAAGACGUAGUGAAAUGCGAUAAGUAAUGUGAAUUGCAGAAUUCAGUGAAUCAUCGAAUCUUUGAACGCACAUUGCGCCCGCCAGUAUUCUGGCGGGCAUGCCUGUUCGAGCGUCAUUACAACCCUCAGGCCCCCGGGCCUGGCGUUGGGGAUCGGCGGAGCCCCCCGUGGGCACACGCCGUCCCCCAAAUGCAGUGGCGGUCCCGCCGCAGCUUCCAUCGCGUAGUAGCUAACACCUCGCGACUGGAGAGCGGCGCGGCCACGCCGUAAAACACCCAACUCUUCUGAAGUUGACCUCGAAUCAGGUAGGAAUACCCGCUGAACUUAAGCAUAUCAAUAAGCGGAGGA